AUGAACGCUGGCGGCAUGCCUAACACAUGCAAGUCGAUCGGUAAGGCUCUUCGGAGUACACGAGAGGCGGGCGGCUGAGUAACGCGUAGGAACACACCCUGCAGUGAGGGAUAAGACACCGAAAGGUGUUCUAAUACCGCAUACGGUCUUCGGAUUAAAGCAUUUAUGCGCUGAAGGAGUGGCCUGCGUCAUAUUAGAUAGUUGGUGAGGUAAUGGCUCACCAAGUCGAUGAUGUGUAGCUGGUCUGAGAGGAUGAUCAGCCAGACUGGAACUGAGACACGGUCCAGACUCCUACGGGAGGCAGCAGUGAGGAAUAUUUCACAAUGAGCGAAAGCUUGAUGGAGCAAUGCCGCGUGCAGGAUGAAGGCCCUCGGGUUGUAAACUGCUUUUAUAAGAGAAGAUUAUGACGGUAACUUAUGAAUAAGGGACGGCUAACUACGUG
Molecule: ribosomal RNA, 442 nt
Filed under: uncultured bacterium
Lineage: Bacteria
Description: partial 16S ribosomal RNA
Rfam family: Bacterial small subunit ribosomal RNA
Source: RNAcentral